CAGCAGCCGCGGUAAUACGAAGGGGGCUAGCGUUGUUCGGAUUUACUGGGCGUAAAGGGCGCGUAGGCGGACUGAUAAGUCAGGGGUGAAAUCCCAAGGCUCAACCUUGGAACUGCCUUUGAUACUGUUUGUCUUGAGUUCGAGAGAGGUAAGUGGAACUGCGAGUGUAGAGGUGAAAUUCGUAGAUAUUCGCAAGAACACCAGUGGCGAAGGCGGCUUACUGGCUCGAAACUGACGCUGAGGCGCGAAAGCGUGGGGAGCAAACAGGAUUAGAGACCCCGGUAGUCCCUGUCUCUUAUAC
This 301-nucleotide ribosomal RNA is filed under the name uncultured bacterium. RNAcentral's name for it is "partial 16S ribosomal RNA". It matches the Rfam family "Bacterial small subunit ribosomal RNA", at positions 509 to 807 of the family's 1533-position model. The record is from RNAcentral.